Molecule: long non-coding RNA, 267 nt
Filed under: Chinchilla lanigera (long-tailed chinchilla)
Lineage: Eukaryota; Metazoa; Chordata; Mammalia; Rodentia; Chinchillidae
Description: lncRNA (ENSCLAG00000028144.1)
Source: RNAcentral
CCUUGCACUUGCCAGGCAGGCGCUGUGUUGCUGAGCUAAAUCUCCAGCCCCACAAGUUUUGAAUUGCUUCUGGCAGUGGCCCCCUCCUGUCCAAGUCUUCCCAUCCAGGAGAUAAGGGCGGAGCGCUGGGCCUUCCCACAGAUUUGCAUCAUCCCUGUGUUGAUCACGGAAAACAGGCAGGACAGCUUUUCGUGUUUUUCCCCAGGUUAAAAACAAUUCCCCUUCUGAAGUUUCCCUGAAUUGCAGCAUUUUCUGUUUGGAAGUCGG